Molecule: ribosomal RNA, 253 nt
Filed under: uncultured bacterium
Lineage: Bacteria
Description: partial 16S ribosomal RNA
Rfam family: Bacterial small subunit ribosomal RNA
Source: RNAcentral
UACGUAGGGUGCAAGCGUUAAUCGGAAUUACUGGGCGUAAAGCGUGCGCAGGCGGUUUUGUAAGUCUGACGUGAAAUCCCCGGGCUUAACCUGGGAAUUGCAUUUGUGACUGUACGGCUAGAGUGUGUCAGAGGGGGGUAGAAUUCCACGUGUAGCAGUGAAAUGCGUAGAGAUGUGGAGGAAUACCGAUGGCGAAGGCAGCCCCCUGGGAUAACACUGACGCUCAUGCACGAAAGCGUGGGGAGCAAACAGG